GAUGAACGCUGGCGGCGUGCUUAACACAUGCAAGUCGAACGAUGAAGCCCAGCUUGCUGGGUGGAUUAGUGGCGAACGGGUGAGUAACACGUGAGUAACCAGCCCUUAACUCUGGGAUAAGCCUGGGAAACUGGGUCUAAUACCGGAUAGGAGCGCCUACCGCAUGGUGGGUGUUGGAAAGAUUUAUCGGUUUUGGAUGGACUCGCGGCCUAUCAGCUUGUUGGUGAGGUAAUGGCUCACCAAGGCGACGACGGGUAGCCGGCCUGAGAGGGUGACCGGCCACACUGGGACUGAGACACGGCCCAGACUCCUACGGGAGGCAGCAGUGGGGAAUAUUGCACAAUGGGCGAAAGCCUGAUGCAGCGACGCCGCGUGAGGGAUGACGGCCUUCGGGUUGUAAACCUCUUUCAGUAGGGAAGAAGCGAAAGUGACGGUACCUGCAGAAGAAGCACCGGCUAACUACGUG
RNAcentral lists this ribosomal RNA (466 nucleotides) under uncultured bacterium. RNAcentral describes it as "partial 16S ribosomal RNA". It matches the Rfam family "Bacterial small subunit ribosomal RNA", at positions 28 to 507 of the family's 1533-position model. The record is from RNAcentral.